This 292-nucleotide long non-coding RNA is filed under the name Amborella trichopoda. RNAcentral's name for it is "long non-coding RNA (ATRI_LNC002032)". Lineage: Eukaryota; Viridiplantae; Streptophyta; Magnoliopsida; Amborellales; Amborellaceae. The record is from RNAcentral.
UCUGCUCUCUUCUAUGUCUCUCUCUACUCUCUUCUCUUGUGAAGACCGCUGAAAAAAGCUCUCUUCUCUGUCUCUCUCUUUGAUAUAAAGCAAGCAUUGCAGUCAUUUGGAGGUGCACUUUUGUUCAAGCAAGCAGCUGCUGUCCUAUAAAGCAAAGCUCUCACCGCUACUGCCCUCUGUUAUCUGUUAAACUCAUGCUCACUCCUCAAACCCUAGGUUGAGGAAGAGAAAGGGAUUCACUUGUAGCAAUGCCCAAUCGCCAUCCUCACAGAGCGGGAACCCCAAAUCAGUC